UCAGUUCAGUUUUCUAAACAAAUUGAUGUGAUACUUCGGAAUGGAAUAAUUAUCUUACACUUAAUUAUAGACAUGCCUUUUAAUUUCUUUCUACAGGUUUGGUCUUCUGUGAAUACUUGCAUAGUGGACUAGUUCUUUCAUUUAAAGACGUUAAUGACCAGGAACCACUUUUUCCAGCUGUAUCACUUCUUAACCUGAGUCCUGCACACAAAUCACAGUUGGCAGUACUUUCAGAAGAAGCCAAGGAUGCUGCUGCUGCUAUUGAGGCUUGGCUGCAGCUGGGGACCAAACUCUCUGAUGUGGUUACAAACAAGAGUGAUGCACUUGGAUUGUUUGACCUCUUCAGAGAUGAAAGCUACAUUUUGACUGGGCAUGAAGGAAGAUUUUAUGUAUCUACCUGCAUUGGCAAGAGAAAAUUUCUGGGAUCAAAACAAGGAGUUUGUUUGAUGACUGCAGACGAGGGGGGAAGCUGGAAAUAUCGCUGGACUAUUUUCUAAGGGAGUUCAACCAUGUCAAAAAGGACAGUGUACUAGCAGGGUUGGGCGGUCGAUGGUCUCAUUGCAAGGCCUUUGCCUAACAGAAUUCGUCCUGGAAACGUUUCCUCUGCUGUAAGAUGCUGACCUAAAUAUGCAGAAAGAAAGCAUGCCAUCGCCCAUGUGGACAUUUGCGAGCAAACAAAUAAGGGAAGGAAAUGCCUUCCUAUGCUGCAAGAAGCGGCUUCAGCCGAGGUGGAAGAUGGAAGGGAGAAGUCGAAGUUUGUGGGACAAGACUAGAACACCCUGGUGAAUGGAAGGACCCACGAAGAUGUGAACUGAUAAUUGGAACUUGCAGGUCCACUGGCGGGCGUGGACCUGGGGGAAGGUUGCAACUUUACUUAACAAAUGAUUAGCUGCUAAUUUCAGAACAAUUCCAUUUGUUGUGUGCUACCAUGGCGUUUGUCUAGUUCUCAGAAAAGUUUCCCAUUGAAUUUUUUAGAGAGUUGCUGAAAUGUUGCGCGAGGUCAUGGAAAAACAUCUUUCUCUCGCAAUGUAAGUUUGAGUUUACAAAAAGAGAAUGUUCAGUAGCAAUCCGGUUCACUAAUUGGAUUCUGCCUCCUGGAUACUGAUCAUUCUAGUUGUAUUAUUAUAGGUUUCGUUGAGGAAAAUUGAGAUCAGGGCACUUCUUAACGAAGCAAAUAUUUUUCUGCAGUGUUAAUUUGGUAAAAAAAAGUCGUUUCCUACCAUUGUGUUACGAACUUACAACAGCCAUGACUUGUAUGCACUAAAGUUCCGGUGCAUUCAAAAAUUUUCCUCUGCUUAUUGGACUGCUAAAUCCACUUUUUAAGAGACUUGGAAUCAAGCAAGAAAAGAUCAACCGACCACCAAGAGUGGUAGCCUAGUUAUUCCAGGCUUACUCCUAAGUUGUUUGGGUGGUCACGAGGUUUCAAGGUUCGAGUCGUGAGAUCAACGCCUCUUCAAACUUUGCCCUCCUACGAAACCUGACUAUGCUCUACUAGCAGUUGGUGAGGCGGUAAAAGAUUUGGUGGGGUGGUAAAAGCUAUGGUGAUAUUCUUCAUAUGAUGGACUGACCAACAAGGGUGGUAGCCUAGUGUACUCUGUUGUUAUGAGAAUAUGUACGUUAUGAAAAUCUGUACGCUGUUGGAAUGAGUUGUCGGUGACCUCGUUCCAUAAGGAUCACCACGAGAAUCUGUACACUGUUGUUAUGGGGGAGAAGCAUUUCCUCCUCCUUCCGCCCACCAACGUCCACCGGAUGUACAUCCAAGACUACCCUGCUGCUCAGUAGUCAGUACC
Molecule: long non-coding RNA, 1790 nt
Organism: Rhododendron vialii
Lineage: Eukaryota; Viridiplantae; Streptophyta; Magnoliopsida; Ericales; Ericaceae
Exons: 3
Source: RefSeq, a predicted model, not a curated record